UACGUAGGGGGCGAGCGUUGUCCGGAAUUACUGGGCGUAAAGAGAGCGUAGGCGGCACUACAAGUCUCAUGUGAAAUACCCGGGCCUAACUUGGGGGUUGCAUGGGAAACUGUAGAGCUUGAGUACAGGAGAGGCAAGCGGAAUUCCUAGUGUAGCGGUGAAAUGCAUAGAUAUUAGGAGGAGCACCAGUGGCGAAGGCGGCUUGCUGGACCGAAACUGACGCUGAGGCUCGAAAGCGUGGGGAGCAAACAGG
This 253-nucleotide ribosomal RNA is filed under the name uncultured bacterium. RNAcentral's name for it is "partial 16S ribosomal RNA". It matches the Rfam family "Bacterial small subunit ribosomal RNA", at positions 524 to 776 of the family's 1533-position model. The record is from RNAcentral.